Macadamia integrifolia is the source of this 7846-nucleotide long non-coding RNA. RefSeq lists it as uncharacterized. The record is from RefSeq and is a predicted model, not a curated record. Lineage: Eukaryota; Viridiplantae; Streptophyta; Magnoliopsida; Proteales; Proteaceae. The transcript is spliced from 2 exons.
UCUUCUUUGUGAUGGAAUCCUUGAUGAAGAAAUAAUUGGAAUGGAGUUCACAAAAUACAUCAUUGUCUCUAGUCAAUUGAUAUACAAGCAAUAAAUUUUUGGAAAUAAGAGGAACAUGAAGCAUAUCAUCGAGUGCUAAAGGAGUUUGAGUAGUAGGAAGAAGAGCAGAACCGGUGUGAUGAAUAGACAAACCAACUCAGUUACAUGUUAUUACCAACAUGUAACUGAGCUGUACCAUGACAAGCAACUUGAAGCUCAAGAUUUGCUAGAUCAGAAGUGAUGUGAUGUGUUGCAGCAGAGUCUGGAUACCAUCCUUGAUCAGCAGCAUAAAAGGGAUUGUUAGGUUGAACAAGAAGACCCUACAGUGAAGAGGAUGAACCAGUGCCUUGGCUUUCAUAGUGAUGCCAGCAGCUAGAGGCAGAAUGAUUUACUUUCCCAUAGAUUUGACAAGUUAUCCUAGGUUGCUCUGGGGCAUUUGAAUUGAAAUGAGGAGGGCGACAACCCGAACCCUGAUAUGUUCCACCUUUGUUGAAGGAUCGACGUCGGCCUCGACCACGAUAAAGUUUGGUUAGAUCGAUAAUCAGAACCCCGAGAGAAAACGCCUCUAUUGAAAGAAUUUGAACUAUCGGAAUUUGGAUGAUCUUUGUUGGAUGUGCGAGUGUGAGACAGAUUUGCAGACAAUGGUGCACUCUCAAUUUGGGGAAUAUUAACUUCUGUAAUCCGCAAUUUCAUACUGUACAGAUAACCAUAUAGGUCAUCGAGAAGAAUUGGAUCAUCUCGAGUGGAGAUUGCUGUAACCAGUGAUUCAUAAUCAGGACCCAAUCCUCCAAGAACGUAUAGAACAAGAUCAUCGGAAGAAAUUGGCUGACCUGCACCUGCUAGAUUGUCAGCAAGAGUCUUAAUCUUCUGUAAGUACUCUUCCAUAGAAAGGUUUUUCUUUUUGAUUGUCUGAAGUUGGAGAUGAAGUUGCAUAAAACAAGCCUUGGAUUGGGAGGAAAAUUGCCGCUCAAGGGUUUGCCCUUUGAGGAAGAUAAGCCAACAACAUGAACCAGAAUGGCCUCAGAGAGAAAAGACAAAAGCCAACUUAAGAUAAGGUGAUCUUGCUUGAUCCAGGAGGCAUAUGAAGGGUUUGUCGCCUCUGGACAUGGAAAAGAGCCAUCUACAUAGCCAAGAUGAUCGUGACCUCACAAUAAUGGCAGAAAUUGUGACUUCCAUAGUAGAUAAUUGUGCCAAUCAAGUUUAACUGACAGGAAAUGCUGAAAAUUUGAUGGAGAAGGGGUGAAAGAAAAAGGUGUUGAAGGUGAAGAUGGUUGCCCAGACAUGGCGUCUGAUACCAUGUUGAAGACUGUAAUUCUAAGUUUAAAACUCCAGUCCGAUUUCAUUAGUUGAGAUGAAUUAUAUACAAGAAGAGAGAGGGAUCGACACUCUCCUAUGUUUCAAGAUGUUGACCUCUAACUGUUAACCACCUAACUAAUCACAUAACUAACACAUAUUUUAGGUUUUAAGUUGACAUUGAGUUUGAAUCCUAAAUUGGUUUCUUGUGGCUUUCAUUUUCAAUUUCGUUUCUUUUUUUUUUUUUUUUUGGGUGUCUUUGUGCCGUGGUUGAUCUUUCUCUUGUGUUUUUCUGCUUUCAACUAGGGAUUUGGUCAAAGGAUUCUUACUAAUCAUACUUUUUUGUGAAAUUGGAGUCCUUUAACCCAACUUCUCUUUUACCCUGUACGUGAAGGAUAGCUAGAACUAAGCCACAUUAGUGGAAGCCACCAAAAGAAGUCUUUUCUUUCACUAAAAGGUGUCCAAUUUUGAUCUUUAGGUCCCUGAAAUAGAUGGAAUACAUAGACACAUAAUAGUUACACCUAUUAACUCUCUCAUGGCUACUUCUAUCAGAAAUCAUUAUCGAGAAACCAUUAUACUUGCUUCUUAUCUAACCAGACCACAUAGCAUUAUUACCAUCCUUAUGGUGGUUUCAACUGUGGACAUGAUGAGCUUGGAGUUAUCUGAGGUUGGGAUCAUAAUUUGGACAAUUUAGACCACAAUUGCAUCUUUUUAUCUUACUAGCACCUGGGGAAUGCUGAUGUCAUUGAGGUGGGAAACAGUAGGAUCUUGGUUUAUUAGGACGUGCAUCCGUAUGAUCAUUCCCUAUCAGUGCAAAGUGAAGGCUUUGUAUAUUGAAGUGUUUCUUUUCAGUUCUUGAGUUUAUAAAAUGACAUUGUAGAUAUAAAUUUUUAUCACCUCUUGUGUUUCCAUCUUGUUAUAAUCCUUGUCUGACCACUUAGGACAUUUCAGAUGUCCUUUUUCUUUCCCUUGUAGUUAUUGAACAUGAGAUUGCAUAUUUGCAUCUCUUCAGUUAGAGGAGAAGAUAUUAGUGAUAGAGAUCAAGAACACUGCUAAGACUGGCAAUGAGGUGAGUUAAUCUGUUCGUGGACCACAAACUUGAUACAGCAUCAGUCCAAUCAAUCAUUGUUCAUCUUUUGCCUAAAGAGUGACAAUUUAGAAAAUUGUUCGUGCUGAAUCACUUCCUAUUGAUCUACUUCAACUCGAAUUAUCUGCAUCCAAAGACUUAAAAUGCUCAAUGGAGGAUUUAAAAUCAGACAAACAUUAAAUUUUGAACAAUUAUCUACUUUCUAUUUGGAUGGAGUUAAAAGAAUUUAUGUUGUAUCAGUUGAUCAAUCUAACCAGUUGGUUGUAAUUAAUUACAAAUUUUUCUCUUGGGCAAUUACGGCCCCCUCCCCUAUACUAUGUAUGGCCUUAUUACGUAUAUACACGUGUUUUCAGAAAUUACACCCCUUCCCCUAAGACUGACGGUGUCAGUCUAGUAUUAGUUUUGAAAUGUAAAAGACCAUUUUACCCUUAAACAAAACAUCCUAAACCAAUAUGGAUCAUAGUCAUCUAGCUCAUAAUGACUAUCUGCUUCAUUACCAUGGCCACUCUCUUAAACCCUGUCACAAUAUCAGAAAAUUCAGCAUCAAUUUCACUCUCAUUUAAGUCACCAUGGUCAUCAGAAUGAUACACAACGUCCUCAUCACUAGCAUCUGAAUCAUCAACUGAUAUAAUGUCACACAUGUCACUUUAAUUUCCUCCCUUGCUUAUUGCACCCUUACCAGUAUCUCUAGCUUCCUUAUUUGCUUCACCCUUACCAGGCUUGCUAGCUCCCUUGUUUCAACACUGUUGGUGAACUGCCCUGAGAGUUGUCACUUGCACAGGCAGUUGAUUGAAACCUACUCCUAGCAGUUGCAUUAUGUGAAUUACCCUCAGAAUGUCCUAGCAGUUACACCAUCAGUUCCUCCACUAGCCCUUCCAGUAGACAUAGUCCUAGCCCUUGCAUUGGGUACAUUGUUUGCAUUUCCAGUGGCACUUGAAUUGCCGAUAGCCCUUGAAGAUGUUGUAUUCCCGCUAGCCUUUCUAUCAGCAAAAGCAUUACUACGAGCCAUACACUAAAACCACCUCUUCUGACUGUGUGCUUUGCCAUAUUGGUUCCCAUUGACUGGCCUCCAUAAUUACCACCAUCCAUUGCUGAACAAUCAUCAUAUGCAGUGUUGUCUCUGGUAACAACUUCUUUGGAGUGUAAAUUGAUGGUAUAUUUAGAAGCUUCCUCAUCAGUCCAUUGAAGAUUAGACAUAGUCACUCUUAUUAAAUCUAUAUGUGAAUUCGAAAAAAAAACAAUCCAUACAUAGAGUUAUCAUCUUCCAAAACUACCUCUUCAUUGUUUGGGAGUGUAGAUUUCAGUUUGAAAGUAAUUGAAUGGCCUGUUGGGACAUGAUCAAUUAUUGUGUUGUAGACUUCACAUAAUAUCCAAAUAGUUGUACCUAUCUAAGUCUACAAUCUUCUGUGCAUAUCUAUCCCGCCAAUUAAACUCAACUUUACAUCUCAAGUCCAUUGCUAUACAAGUGACAACGAACAAAUGAUUGGAUGCAUUACAAAUAUAGAUGAUACAAAAUCAAACUUAGAAUACAUCAUACAUUUUCUGGUGGCCAUUAAACGCAAUGUCUUGUAUGUUAGCAUACUGAAAUCAUGCAGAAGAUUGUUACUUAUUGUUUUUGAGUCUCUGCAAAUUGUUUCAAGGUGUAUUUUGUUACUUACUGAAGCCCCAAGCCAAUAACUACAUGUAUUGAUUCUUUAGCUUAGAGAAGAUUGUUUGCUUGAAUUGCUUCAAUUGAAAUCCAGAAUCUAUGCAGCAUGUAAAGGAUGCUCAAUGGGACUAAAUUAAAAGAAUUUCAUCUAAUUCCACUAGCAGUGAUGCAAUAAUCCAUGUUUUAUAUAGAAGAAUACCAUUUGUAGGGACUGAGAAAAAAAAAAUAAAAAAUAAAAAAUUUCCAUCCCUACAAACACCACUCCGUCAAUGGGUUGCUGUCUUUGUAGGUCCAUUCUGAUUUCUAGUCUCAGCAAUGCAGAUUUAGUAAGAGGUCUACCUUGAAACAGCUCAGUUUUGACUACCAUGGCUUGAGUACUUUGACAGCUCGGAAUGUAAGUUGAUAAUAGAUUUUAGUAGUGUUUCACUUUGUCAAUGAAGGAAAGUUUUUUGGAGUCACUGAAGAGUUUGUAUCAGUCACACAUGACUCUGGGUCUGUUGUACUCAAAGUUCAUUCACUGGAAUGUGAAACCCAGUUAUAGUCAAGAAUUCCUAAAAAUCUAAUUUAGAUCCACCACCCCACAAAGGAAGUAGGGAGAAGGAAGAAGAGUUGGAAAUCCCCUAAUUUAUAUGCUCUGUUCAUCCUAAUUUUUAUCCUUUAAAACCCUAAAAAAGUGAUUCAUGCCACCCCCACAAAGGAAAUAGGAAGAAGGAAGAAGAGGUGGAGACCCCCACAAAGGAAAUAGGCUGAAGGAAGAAGAGGUGGAAAUCCCCUAAUUUAUAUGCUCUGUUCAUCCUAAUUUAUAUCUCUUGAAAGCCUUAAAAAGUGAUUCAUACCACCCCCACAAAGGAAAUAGGAAGAAGGAAGAAGAGGUGGAGAUCCCCUAAUUUAUAUGCUAUGUUCAUCCUAAUUUAUGUCCCUUAAAACCAUAAAAAAGUGAUUUAUACCAAAGAACACAAAAAAAAAAAAGGAGAUACUUGCCGUUGAAGCCAAUAGUUGUUCAGUUGUAGCUUCAACCGAAGCUUUGGUGCCUUGAUAGAGUGGAGAAGUUUGCUGGCGCAAGGACUUCACAAAGUGUGGAGCUUCGUCGAGGCUGCGGUGCUCUCUACUAUUCUCUGUUGUGUGGUGUUUGAUGUUGCUCUCUGAUCUUCUCAACUUCGUUGGAAUCGUUCCAAGUUAGCUGAAGCAGGUUGAAAAGAAUGAAGCAAGUUGAACGAAAUUCAGCUCUUUUUAGUUGUUUUCGAAUGGAAGGGUAUAUACGUAAGUUGAUGUGCAUAUAGGCAUUUUUGGUACUAGAAUGUAUGAUAUUAGGUGACGUCACCAACUAACAGUCCCAAUUUCACGGAGACUAAUGGAUUGGACCAAAUUGUAAGAAUCUUAGAAAAUACAAGGGAGGGGCGUAAUUUUCCCUUGUUUUAUUGUUUGGAGAGCUAUGACGAAUUCAACCCCUAGAGUUCCUUGGUGUAAGAUGGUUUGAUUUAACUUCAAUAUUCCUAGACAUUGUUUUAUUGUUUGGAGAGCUAUUACCAAUUCACUUCCUACUCAGGAGUUUCUCCUUCAGAGAAAUUUGUUUAUUCGUAUUUGUUCCCUUUGUUGGAACUCCUUGGAAAGUGUUGACCACAUUUUUCUUUUCCUGUCAUUUUUCCAAAUAUGUUUGGAAAGACAUUCUUAUAAAGUGUUGGUCCUAUCCUAGAGUGAUUAUUUUGUCAUAGAAUAGAGUGGAUCUUGAAAAAAAAAAUGAAUGGAAAAUCUCCUUGUGACAUCAUUGAUAAGUUGGCUUUUGGUGCUGCAAUUUAUCAUGUUUGGUGGAAAAGGAAUAAAAGAAGAUGGUCUUUCCAUCAUUUUUUGAGCUCAGAAACUUAAGAAAUAGGCAUCUUGGCUAUUCUUGGGAUCUUCCUCUCGUUUUCCCCUGGCUUUUGAUUUAUCAUCCUUUUGAUUUUGUUUCUUCCCCGUCAGGGUUUUUGGGUGUAUCAACCUUUUGAUUUUGUUUCUUCUCCCCUGGUUUUUUAUGUAUCCUCCUCUUUGUUGGUUGCUACUUCCCCUCCCCAUGUUUGUUGUAUCUCUAUUUAAUGCUUGUUUUGUUUCUUUAGUCUAGGGUCUGCCCCUUGGCUAGCCAUCUUGGCAGAUGUGUUGUAUAUACAAAUAAGACAUUUGAGGGUCCUAUUUUAGUAGAGUAUCUCUAAACUUGGAUUUCAUUCACAUAACAAAAUCCAUUAUUGGAGUGGAGUGACAUCUAUUUGUCACUGGAUUGUCCACAAUUAGUUUCAAUGGAUGUGCUCAUAAUACAGAAACCACUUGUGCAAGUUUCCAGCAGGCUUAAUUUGGAUCACUAACAUUUCUGUUUAACAAUCGACUAAAAAAAGUGUCUACAAAGAAAUUUUCGAUGGAUGAGCUCAUAAUACAGAAACCACUUGUAUGUUUAACAGAAAACUGUGAUCAUCCUUACUAGUGUUUCAUCCAUAAUUGCAAGGUCUUAGCACCCAUUUGGCCAUCUUUGCUGACAUGGGAUUCAAAUUGUAAUUGAUUGAGACUGACCCUAAACCCAAUUCCGAGUUUCUAAACCUCGGCAGCAUUACAUUGCUGCUAAUUGAAGGGAUUGGAUAUUAUUGCUGUUAAAAUUGAUGGAUGAUUUAUAUCUUAGAUGGUUCAAAACUAAGGACCGAAUUAUUGUCGUAUCGUGCAAUAUUAGGAAUGGUGAUUCUAAACUCAAGCGUGGAUAUACAUAUAUUUGUUUAUUGAACUGGAUCAUCUGAGAAUACUUCUUUUUUUUUUUUUUCUGAUGAUUCAGUUCUCAGUUGUAUAAUGAACAAGAUUUUGAAUAUUGCAAUUCAUGCCCAGACUUGGGAGGUCCUUAUUCUUCAUGUUAGGUAUUAUGGGUUUUGAAGUUCUAUUGGUUGACGUUGGCAAGUUAGAUAUCAGUGCAUAGGCUCAUGGUAUUUACUUGUGAAUAAAAGGUAUGCUCAAUAAGAACCACUUCUUAUAGUUUCCAAAGUGUUAAAAAAAUAUGCUUUUGAAGUGUUUCAGAAAUUGUUUUUCUGUCCAAUCAGUUGAUGAGAUUCGUUGUUUAUGUCAUUUUGAUGCACUAAGAUGGUGACAGGACAAAAUCCUACAUGGUUCAAUCUUCUUCCUGCCAUUGUUUCCAUAUAGGAGACCAUCAUUGUCAAUGAUAAAUUCACAAACUUCUUCCCGGUGCUCGGUUAUGAUGGCAGGAUAAAUGUCUUCCACCACAAUACACAGAUAGAACCUGCAUCUCUAUCUGGAACCCAACUUCGGAAGGCCAACCACCGUGAUGGAGAGCUUUAAGAAGGUCAAGCGCGCACUACGGAUUGGCACCGCUGCUUUUCUGCCUGUGUGACUGCAACAGUUGGCUCCUCUGCUAUCUCUCUGUUCAAUCGUUAGAAUGGUAGCAAUAUUUUACAGCUUCAUUCAAAAGCAUUCGCUGAAGUGGUGGUGGGAGAGUGAUGUUUUGCCUCUUUCUUAAGCGGCUCUUGGUCAUUCAGUUCACCAAACCUGAACCCUUCCACCAAGAAGACAAUUGGAGAUGCCAGUGUGAUCACGUAGCUACCAGUCACAAUGGGAAAGUGAUGGAGGUUACGGACGGGAGUGGAGAAGUGAUGGUGGGAGAAUUUGUGUUCUGGUGGUUGUUCUAUUUUCUCUUUACUCAUAUUGAUCACAAUAUAUACCCACUCGCAUCGAACCAUGUUCCAAUUUUGCCAUUUGCUUUACUUCAAAAAUUAUGAUAAUGCCUUAUAAUUUGUAUCAAAGUUCAAAUUAGGCCA